This 501-nucleotide ribosomal RNA is filed under the name uncultured bacterium. Its description in RNAcentral is "bacterial SSU rRNA". It matches the Rfam family "Bacterial small subunit ribosomal RNA", at positions 23 to 518 of the family's 1533-position model. The record is from RNAcentral.
CUCAGGAUGAACGCUGGCGGCGUGCCUAAUACAUGCAAGUCGAACGAGGUAGCAAUACCGAGUGGCGAAACGGGUGAGUAACACGUAGGUAACCUGCCCUUAAGCUUGGGAUACCCAGAGGAAACUUUGGCUAAUACCGGAUAACAACAGAGAAGGCAUCUUCUUUGCUUGAAAGGCCCCUUCAAGGGUCACUUAAGGAUGGACCUGCGGCGCAUUAGCUAGUUGGUGAGAUAACAGCCCACCAAGGCGAGGAUGCGUAGCCGAACUGAGAGGUUGAUCGGCCACAUUGGAACUGAGACACGGUCCAAACUCCUACGGGAGGCAGCAGUAAGGAGUUUUCGGCAAUGGGGGAAACCCUGACCGAGCAACGCCGCGUGAGCGAUGACGGUCCUUUGGAAUUGUAAAGCUCUGUUGUAAGCCAUGAAUGACAGCUUGAGGAAAUGCAAGUUGUUUGACGACAGCUUACCAGAAAGCCACGGCUAACUACGUGCCAGCCGCUGC